GACGAACGCUGGCGGCGUGCUUAACACAUGCAAGUCGAACGGUGAAGCGCCUUCCUUUUUGGUGGGUGUGGAUGAGUGGCGAACGGGUGAGUAACACGUGAGUAACCUGCCCCCUUCUUCUGGAUAACCGCAUGAAAGUGUUGCUAAUACGGGAUAUUCUGGGUCUGUCGCAUGAUGGGUCUGGGAAAGAUAUUGUUUCGGUGGGGGAUGGGCUCGCGGCCUAUCAGCUUGUUGGUGGGGUGAUGGCCUACCAAGGCGGUGACGGGUAGCCGGCCUGAGAGGGUGGACGGGCACACUGGGACGGAGACACGGCCCAGACUCCUACGGGAGGCAGCAGUGGGGAAUAUUGCACAAUGGGCGCAAGCCUGAUGCAGCGACGCCGCGUGAGGGAUGGAGGCCUUCGGGUUGUGAACCUCUUUCGCCAGUGAAGCAGGCCUGCCUCGUUUGUGGGUGGGUUGACGGUAGCUGGAUAAGAAGCGCCGGCUAACUACGU
RNAcentral lists this ribosomal RNA (493 nucleotides) under uncultured bacterium. RNAcentral describes it as "partial 16S ribosomal RNA". It matches the Rfam family "Bacterial small subunit ribosomal RNA", at positions 28 to 506 of the family's 1533-position model. The record is from RNAcentral.